RNAcentral lists this long non-coding RNA (248 nucleotides) under Elaeis guineensis (African oil palm). RNAcentral's name for it is "long non-coding RNA (EGUI_LNC040588)". The record is from RNAcentral. Lineage: Eukaryota; Viridiplantae; Streptophyta; Magnoliopsida; Arecales; Arecaceae.
AAUUAUAUAGAAAAUCAGAUACUUUAUCUACCUCAGUUUCCAUGACAGAAUUUUAACGAAAGCAAAUCUUAUCAAACGAGGUUGGAAAGGUAAGGACAGCUGUGCUCUUUGUGGAUCAAACUCAGAAACGAUAGAUCACCUCCUUCUUCAAUGCUCGUUCUCAAGAUCAGUCUGGACAUCCCUGCUGCAAACCAGCAUCUUAAAGAUCUCCCUCAGAGCCAAUUUAUGUUGUGGACUACAUGGCCAUC